AUUGAACGCUGGCGGCGUGCUUAACACAUGCAAGUCGUGCGGUAACAGGCGUAGCAAUACGUGCUGACGAGCGGCGAACGGGUGCGUAAUACAUGGGAAUCUGCCCUUUAGUGGGGAAUAACCCGGCGAAAGCCGGGCUAAUGCCGCAUAAGAUCUUCGGAUGAAAGCGGGGGAUCGUAAGACCUCGCGCUGAUGGAUGAGCCCAUGUCGGAUUAGCUAGNGGUGAGGUAACGGCUCACCAAGGCGACGAUCCGUAGCUGGUCUGAGAGGACGGCCAGCCACACUGGGACUGAGACACGGCCCAGACUCCUACGGGAGGCAGCAGUGGGGAAUAUUGGACAAUGGGGAAACCCUGAUCCAGCGACGCCGCGUGUGUGAAGAAGGCC
This 386-nucleotide ribosomal RNA is filed under the name uncultured bacterium. RNAcentral's name for it is "bacterial SSU rRNA". It matches the Rfam family "Bacterial small subunit ribosomal RNA", at positions 29 to 416 of the family's 1533-position model. The record is from RNAcentral.